UUACAUAACUCCGAGAUAUUAAUUUACUUAUUGUAGAGGCAGAAAACGAAAAAUCACAGUUGUAUUCUUUCGAGUUUACUGGGUUUUUUACAGCAUAAGUGAAACUAAAUGAAAGAAUAGUUUAUUAUAGGGACCAUGAGCGUAUAUAUAUAUAUAUAUAAUUUCGGUACAUAUUUUUAUUAUCGUAAAUAUUUGCACGAAGUUGUGAAACAAAGAAGUCGUGGUUUCCAUUGCAACCGACUAUUUUUAAAUAAUUGCGUAUGGGUUUCAGUCAACCGCGUUUAUGAUCCCUAUAAUAAAUUAUUGUUUCAUUUCAGUUAUGCUAUAAAAAAUUUGAUGAACUCACAAGAGUAUAGUUGUGAUUUUUCGUUUUCUGUCUCUAUAAUAAGUGAUUCGGGCGAACUGGACAAAUGACACCAGUGAAUAGUUGGC
RNAcentral lists this long non-coding RNA (432 nucleotides) under Androctonus crassicauda. Lineage: Eukaryota; Metazoa; Arthropoda; Arachnida; Scorpiones; Buthidae. The record is from RNAcentral.